UACGUAGGGUGCGAGCGUUAAUCGGAAUUACUGGGCGUAAAGCGUGCGCAGGCGGUUUUGUAAGCCAGAUGUGAAAUCCCCGGGCUUAACCUGGGAAUGGCAUUUGGGACUGCAAGGCUUGAGUGCGGCAGAGGAGACUGGAAUUCCUGGUGUAGCAGUGAAAUGCGUAGAGAUGUGGAGGAACACCAGUGGCGAAGGCGGCUUUCUGGUCUGUAACUGACGCUGAGGCGCGAAAGCCGUGGGGAGCAAACAGG
RNAcentral lists this ribosomal RNA (254 nucleotides) under uncultured bacterium. Its description in RNAcentral is "partial 16S ribosomal RNA". It matches the Rfam family "Bacterial small subunit ribosomal RNA", at positions 524 to 776 of the family's 1533-position model. The record is from RNAcentral.